AACUCUAAAAUUAACUAACGUUAUAAAUUAAAAGUGUAAGGUAGGUCUACAUCCAAACUUAAAAUUAUAUAAUAUAUUUUUCUAUGAAAAUAUUUAAUAAUAUUAAUGAAAAGGUCUUUUCGUACACUCUAUCUUCGAAUUAUAAAUUUUAAUUCAGAUCUAUAAUAAAAAUAAAGUUGGAAAUAAUUGGCUUUUCUUUUUUUUUGCAUCGGGAAUUAUGUAAGAUGACCCCAUGCGGGCAUGCCUCGAACAUGUGUAAUCCUAAAGUCGGACAAUCUUAAGUAUAAGUGUCUCCUAAUUGCAGCUGUAUUAUUAUUUCUCAGCCCUUCGUUUUAAGCACCAACGGUGACAGAUCUGCCCAUUUGUU
Molecule: long non-coding RNA, 367 nt
Filed under: Capsella rubella
Lineage: Eukaryota; Viridiplantae; Streptophyta; Magnoliopsida; Brassicales; Brassicaceae
Description: long non-coding RNA (CRUB_LNC004041)
Source: RNAcentral